UACGGAGGAUUCAAGCGUUAUCCGGAUUUAUUGGGUUUAAAGGGUGCGUAGGCGGUCGGAUAAGUUAGAGGUGAAGUCCCGGGGCUCAACUUCGGAAUUGCCUCUGAUACUGUUCGGCUAGAGAGUAGUUGCGGUAGGCGGAAUGUAUGGUGUAGCGGUGAAAUGCUUAGAGAUCAUACAGAACACCGAUUGCGAAGGCAGCUUACCAAGCUACUUCUGACGUUGAGGCACGAAAGCGUGGGGAGCAAACAGG
This 253-nucleotide ribosomal RNA is filed under the name uncultured bacterium. RNAcentral describes it as "partial 16S ribosomal RNA". It matches the Rfam family "Bacterial small subunit ribosomal RNA", at positions 524 to 776 of the family's 1533-position model. The record is from RNAcentral.